This is a non-coding RNA of Mus musculus (house mouse), 73 nucleotides long. The record is from Rfam. Lineage: Eukaryota; Metazoa; Chordata; Mammalia; Rodentia; Muridae.
GGAGAGGUGGCUCAGUGGUUAAGAGCACUGACUGCUCUUCCAUAGGUCCUGAGUACAAUUCUCAGCAACCCCA